This 424-nucleotide ribosomal RNA is filed under the name uncultured Prevotella sp. RNAcentral describes it as "bacterial SSU rRNA". It matches the Rfam family "Bacterial small subunit ribosomal RNA", at positions 355 to 776 of the family's 1533-position model. RNAcentral also lists the same sequence under 1 other name. Lineage: Bacteria; Pseudomonadati; Bacteroidota; Bacteroidia; Bacteroidales; Prevotellaceae. The record is from RNAcentral.
UGAGGAAUAUUGGUCAAUGGGCGCGAGCCUGAACCAGCCAAGUAGCGUGCAGGAUGACGGCCCUAUGGGUUGUAAACUGCUUUUGUAUGGGGAUAAAGUCAAUCACGUGUGAUUGUUUGCAGGUACCAUACGAAUAAGGACCGGCUAAUUCCGUGCCAGCAGCCGCGGUAAUACGGAAGGUCCGGGCGUUAUCCGGAUUUAUUGGGUUUAAAGGGAGCGUAGGCCGGAGAUUAAGUGUGUUGUGAAAUGUAGACGCUCAACGUCUGACUUGCAGCGCAUACUGGUUUCCUUGAGUACGCACAACGUUGGCGGAAUUCGUCGUGUAGCGGUGAAAUGCUUAGAUAUGACGAAGAACUCCGAUUGCGAAGGCAGCUGACGGGAGCGCAACUGACGCUUAAGCUCGAAGGUGCGGGUAUCGAACAGG